UACAGAGGGUGCAAGCGUUAAUCGGAUUUACUGGGCAUAAAGCGUGCGUAGGCAGCGAGAUAAGUCGGAUGUGAAAUCCCUGGGCUUAACCUAGGAACUGCAUUCGAUACUGUCUUGCUAGAAUUCGGUAGAGGGUGGCGGAACUCCAGGUGUAGCGGUGAAAUGCGUAGAUAUCUGGAAGAACACCGAUGGCGAAGGCAACCACCUGGGCCUGAAUUGACGCUGAGGCACGAAAGCGUGGGGAGCAAACAGG
This 253-nucleotide ribosomal RNA is filed under the name uncultured bacterium. Its description in RNAcentral is "partial 16S ribosomal RNA". It matches the Rfam family "Bacterial small subunit ribosomal RNA", at positions 524 to 776 of the family's 1533-position model. The record is from RNAcentral.